AUCGUCGGCCACAGAAGCGAGAAACCGCCGAAUCCCGUCCGCUCUUCGAAGCUUUAAGCUCGCUAUCGCCCGGUUAGUACCAUCGUGGGGGACCAGAUGGGAAUCCCGGGUGCUGACGUUU
RNAcentral lists this ribosomal RNA (121 nucleotides) under Kwoniella heveanensis BCC8398. Lineage: Eukaryota; Fungi; Basidiomycota; Tremellomycetes; Tremellales; Cryptococcaceae. The record is from RNAcentral.